Molecule: ribosomal RNA, 429 nt
Filed under: Gemmatimonadota bacterium
Lineage: Bacteria; Pseudomonadati; Gemmatimonadota
Description: Gemmatimonadetes bacterium partial 16S ribosomal RNA
Rfam family: Bacterial small subunit ribosomal RNA
Source: RNAcentral
UAGGGAAUCUUCGGCAAUGGACGAAAGUCUGACCGAGCAACGCCGCGUGAGUGAAGAAGGUUUUCGGAUCGUAAAACUCUGUUGUUAGAGAAGAACAAGGACGUUAGUAACUGAACGUCCCCUGACGGUAUCUAACCAGAAAGCCACGGCUAACUACGUGCCAGCAGCCGCGGUAAUACGUAGGUGGCAAGCGUUGUCCGGAUUUAUUGGGCGUAAAGCGAGCGCAGGCGGUUUCUUAAGUCUGAUGUGAAAGCCCCCGGCUCAACCGGGGAGGGUCAUUGGAAACUGGGAGACUUGAGUGCAGAAGAGGAGGGUGGAAUUCCAUGUGCAGCGGUGAAAUGCGUAGAUAUAUGGAGGAACACCAGUGGCGAAGGCGGCUCUCUGGUCUGUAACUGACGCUGAGGCUCGAAAGCGUGGGGAGCAAACAGG